This is a long non-coding RNA of Sorghum bicolor (sorghum), 2414 nucleotides long. RefSeq lists it as uncharacterized. Lineage: Eukaryota; Viridiplantae; Streptophyta; Magnoliopsida; Poales; Poaceae. The record is from RefSeq and is a predicted model, not a curated record. The transcript has 5 exons.
CCCGCCGCGAGCCCGCGCGCACGCCGUUGGCUGCAGCCCGCCCGCUGCCCGAGCUGCCGCGCCGGUGGCCGCGCCCUGCGGCUGCGCGCACGCCGUGGGGAUCCAGGAUCGAGAUGGCGGUGGGGAUCAACGCCGAGCAGUUCCCGGCGAAGCUCGACUGCUUGUACGGCGCGGUGCAGCUGCGCACCGCCGAUGGCCGCGGCUAUGGCUGCCCGCUCAGCGCCACCUGCGCCUAGCCGCGGCCGCGUGCGUCGACGGCCACCGCCCUAUUCCCCAUCAAGAUCGCAAGGCACACAGAUCUAUGCUCCAUCCACCUCUUUCUUUUUGCAUUUUUUUUGGUUUCAUUCCUUUGCUUGAGAAGGCACGGAUUAAAUUUGGGCAAACAAUUUUGAUGCAAGUUAUAGGAUUGAUUUACAUGAACCCAAGUGAGGCAGAGGUAAGGGAGGUGGAAGAAAGAAAGGGACUGUUGCAAAAAAUGGUUUCCAUUAUGUGACUGGAGGGGUUCACCAUUUGCAUUUAGUUUUGUGGUUUUUGUCAACUUGUGAGACAAUAGACUUUUGUAGUGUUAGAAGAGAACUUCAAACAUGUUUUGCUCUGUUUUUGUUAUGUAAACCUGUAGGAAUAGGAAUUUCUUAGUUCCUGACACUCAGAGGAAAUGGUUCAAUACUACUGGGAAAUCUGUGUUAUAGUUGUAUUUGAGGUGGGUUAACCUAGCUGAUUUAUAUGUGCCAUGUAUUUAAACUAAGAGUGCAAAUGAUUUAAAACGUUAUAAGAUUCAGAUAUCUUAGUUCUGAAUUUUUAAUAUCCUAAGUUGAUUGCUUGUGGCUGUUAUGAGUGACAAUCUGUUCAUCAUGAGGUAAUUAAAGGUAGGUUAUGAUCCAUGGCUGCAGCUGUUAGGUAAUGACACUUCAGAUCCUUUUGUUUCAAAUGUGUUCACAUUCACAUCAUUUGAUUCUCUUUUUGUUUACGGAUGUUGAGAGCUUCAUAGUUUAGAUAUAAAAUAAAAAAUUUACAUGUCGGCAAAAGAACUAUAUGGAUGCAAUGUUAUCUCGUCAUGUAGGCAAAAGACAAGGCAUGUUUGUUUUGGGGGUGCUUCAGUGCUCCACUGCUACUGGAAUGAGGAGAACUUUCUAUCACAUGCAAAGGAAUGAUGAAAAACACACACUUUCUUGAGCAAGUGUCAAGGAUCUUUGGAAAGAACGAUGAGAUCAUCUUACCUGCCAAAGCCGUUGUGUUUGCAUGGUUGAAACCACGCAGUGCUGUCCAUGCACGAUCCCCACCGCCGCUAAAUCUAUCUGAGGAAUGGUUGAGUGGAGCCUGUGUUGGCGUGCAGGGUCCUGGGGAGAACGAGUGUGCAAGGGAGAGAUAAAGUGUGUUGCGUGAUUGUGGGGUACGUACAAGUGUAUUUUUAUUUUUAGUCUUUGUCAGAAUGUUUAGUUUGCAACAAUUGAUUUUUGUAAGUGCCGGUAGAUGCAUAUCCACAUUUAUAGGUCAAACAACAAUUAACUUUGUGUUAAUGUUUGGAAUAACUGAUUGUGUAUCCAUGUUGACAUCAAUAAAUUAUCCAUAUUUAUAGUCUAGCUUCUUUGGAUCAGCGCUUUCUUCUUUCUCCUGUAAGCAAGGAUAAUAAGAAUAAAUAAAUGUUGCAACUCAGAGCAGGAUAUUAGGUGAGGACUGAAGACUGUGUGGUUAAUGGGAUGUUCUAGACUCUAAAUAGUCUCAAACUUAAUUUGGUUCUAGACUAGAAGUUUCUCUGUUUCAGUUUGAUGUUGCUCUGUUAAUUAUCAUUAACUUUUGUUUUAGGUAAUGCAAGUGUAUUUAGGCAUGCAGGUUUCUGUCAGUCUGCAGGUUGUUUGUUCACUGGGCUGUUCAUCUCCUGAAGUUCUCUGUGACCUUGCUUUUCUAGGGACCAGUGGCCAUGGCCGAUUCUGUGGAGGAGGGGCAGGAUCCAGCUACCUUGGCCAGAUCCGUCAAGGAAGACGCAGAUUCCGGCAUACACGGCCAGAUGCGAUGAGGAGGAUGGAUGACAACACUUGAUCUUCUGUUUGCAAGUCGUGGCCAAGGGCGACAUGGUGGUGCCGCUGGUGGACGAGAUGUUCGAGGCCGUCUGAUCCUGUGGCAUUGGCAUCCAUGUGGUCCCUACAUUUGCUGGAACACAAGCAAACAGUACGGCAUAUGCAGGAACACAACUCUUUUCUUUGGUGUUAGAAGUGACAGAGUAUGUGUUUUUAGUACAAAAGUUUAGUUGUUCCGUAGCAACGCACGGGCAUGCUACCUAUAGUAUCAUAAUCUUCAAGGAAAAAUUAAUUGUCUUCCGGAAACACUCCCGUCCAGGGUGUGUAUGGAAAAGACGCCUGUAUAAAUGGCUGAAUACCCGUCUCUAUUUCAUAAUAUGUUGGAUGGAUAUUGCCCAA